CAGAACCCUUUCUACAGUCACCUUGCGUGAGGGGCAAAGGCUCCACCACUUGAAGGAAUCAUGUCUCCGUGUUUCUCUGCAGAGAGAACAUGAAGGCAGCCUGAGGAUGAAGACAGAGUUACUGGUGCAGAUGGAUGGGCUGGCACGCCCAGAGGAUCUUGUAUUUGUCUUAGCAGCAUCUAACCUGCCAUGAUUCCCUUUUCUCUUUCUGAGCUCACGCCUCAGAAGUGGAGGCUCAGGGACUACAUCUUUCCAGUCAUCUUCAGAAGCACUACCCAACUGUUGUAGUCAGAAGGAUUCAGCAAGGGAAUACAUUAAAUACAGGACACCUAACUAAUAAGGUUGUUUUAUGAUAAUUACCCGAAGAGUCAAAUGCAAAGGAGUGCACAAAAUUAACCACACACUAGAAGCCCAAAGGAUUCAACUGAGGGCCUAGAUCCCAGCAGUUUCUCACACAAGUCCAGCCAGUGCCCUAGAGCCCAUGGCAAUGUCUCAUGUUUGUCCGUAUUGAGGAUUUGCACCUGGAAGGCCCAAAGGCCAGUGGCGGAAGCCAGAAAAUCUACGCUGGUGAGAUGAAGGAUUUGUGCCAAGCUGAGGGAUCCACAUUGGAGCCAGGAAGUGACGCUCAAGGUGAAGAUCAGAGCUCCUCUGAUGAAAACAGCAGCUAUUCCCAGCAACAGUGAGGCCCCGAGCUCUUCCUCUGAUGAAAGCAUCCUAGUUUGCAUCUGGAAAACCAUUCGCAGCAAGCUUCUCCUAGCAAAUCAACAGGCCAAGAUCUUCCCCUCCAGUUCUCUUUUUAUGGCUAUUGGUAACAAUCUUUAUGUGGAUCUUUCAUGCCCAGACCGUGCUGAUUCAGUUCAGCUGGGCAUUACAAGUUGACCAUUAGUCAAUCCACUACACCAACCAAGUGAGUUGGGUGGUUUUUCCCUGAAACUCAUUGUUUCCAUGAUUUUCACUCAAGAUGAAAUACAAUAUGUUAUUCCCAAGUUGGUGCAGCUUUUCUCUAUUAGUUUGAUCUA
Long non-coding RNA from Heterocephalus glaber (naked mole-rat), 1019 nucleotides. NCBI's taxonomy places the organism in Eukaryota, Metazoa, Chordata, Mammalia, Rodentia, Bathyergidae. The record is from Ensembl.